AUGGACGGCGAUGGACCGCCGCCGCCGGCCGCAUCGGUGGCGUCGGUGCUCGGCGACGACGACCUCUUCCGCGAGAUCCUCCUCUGCCUCGGCUUCCCCAACCUCCUCGUCCGCGCCGCCCUCGUCUCCAAGCGGUGGCUCCUCCACGCCUCCGAUCCGGUCUUCCUUCGCCGCUUCCGCGAGCGCAACCCGCCCCGCCUGCUCGGAUUCUACGCCGGCUACCCCGGCCGGUAUCAGUUCGUGCCGCUCCCGCAGCCCCCGGAGCUGGCCGCCCUCUCGCGCCGCCCGGCCUCUUCCUGCGACGGCGCCUUCGCCCGCGGAGCCGAGCGACUCAUCCACUGCCGGAACGGCCGCCUCCUCACUGCGUUCCGCAGCCGCUGGCGCCAGCUACGCGGCGGCAGUUUCAAGCACUAUCUCCUGGCGCCGCUGCUCGCCGGGGAGGCCCCAACCGUCCUCCCACCGGCACCGCCGCCCAUCCACGGGCGCGCUCUAGCGAGAUUCACCCAGCUGUUCCUACCCGAGGAUGGGGGCCGCGACGGCAUCACCUUGGUGAAUCUCUUGAUGGUCGGCCGAAAAGUCUAUGCGGAAGUGUACACCCUGGGAUCCGGCGGAUGGGACUUCCCUGGCACCGAGGUGAUAGAGAUAGAGCUCCCGCAUGCCACAACCUUCCUGCAAGAAAUGCUGCCGCCCGUUCAUGGCAAGGCCUUCGUGGUGACCACCUCUGGGUACACCCUGGGUCUUGACUUGGCCACGUCAACCUUCUUCACCCUGGAGCUCCCAGUUGGAGUGUGGCGCAGUUACCUGCUGUCAUCCGCGAAGGAUUCCGGGCUUUAUCUCGUUAGUGCAGACGGAUUUCAGCUAAGCGUGUGGCUCAAUGGGAUGACAGUUGGGGACAACGCCGAGUUUGUAUUCUUGGAUUAUGCAACAUAUGGUGUUGUCCUUUAUGUUCAUCUGAGGAGCAGAGUGGUUGACAAGGUGUAUGAGCAGGCACUGUAUCAUCAUGGUAAUAUUCAUCCGGGUAUAAGCCGCAUACAUAUCUCUCCCUUUAUGAUGAUGUGGCCACCUGUUUUCCCUGCACUGAACAGAAGACAUGAUCAAGAGCAAUGA
This 1107-nucleotide ribosomal RNA is filed under the name Triticum aestivum (bread wheat). Its description in RNAcentral is "partial small subunit ribosomal RNA". The record is from RNAcentral. Lineage: Eukaryota; Viridiplantae; Streptophyta; Magnoliopsida; Poales; Poaceae.